GCUUCGGCAAUGUAGAGUUAAAAGUUAG
Molecule: non-coding RNA, 28 nt
Filed under: Cricetulus griseus (Chinese hamster)
Lineage: Eukaryota; Metazoa; Chordata; Mammalia; Rodentia; Cricetidae
Source: RNAcentral